GCUCAACCGAGGAAGUGCUUCGAAAACUGGUAAACUUGAGUGCAGAAGAGGAAAGUGGAACUCCAUGUGUAGCGGUGGAAUGCGUAGAUAUAUGGAAGAACACUAGUGGCGAAGGCGGCUUUCUGGUCUGUAACUGACGCUGAGAUUCGAAAGCAUGGGUAGCAAACAGGAUUAGAUACCCUGGUAGUCCAUGCCGUAAACGAUGAGUGCUAAGUGUUGGAGGGUUUCCGCCCUUCAGUGCUGCAGCUAACGCAUUAAGCACUCCGCCUGGGGAGUACGAUCGCAAGAUUGAAACUCAAAGGAAUUGACGGGGGCCCGCACAAGCGGUGGAGCAUGUGGUUUAAUUCGAAGCAACGCGAAGAACCUUACCAGGUCUUGACAUACCAUGAAAAGCUAAGAGAUUAGUCUUUCCCUUCGGGGACAUGGAUACAGGUGGUGCAUGGUUGUCGUCAGCUCGUGUCGUGAGAUGUUGGGUUAAGUCCCGCAACGAGCGCAACCCUUAUUAUCAGUUGCCAGCAUUCAGUUGGGCACUCUGGUGAGACUGCCGGUGACAAACCGGAGGAAGGUGGGGACGACGUCAAAUCAUCAUGCCCCUUAUGACCUGGGCUACACACGUGAAUCGUCGACCUGCA
RNAcentral lists this ribosomal RNA (632 nucleotides) under uncultured bacterium. Its description in RNAcentral is "bacterial SSU rRNA". It matches the Rfam family "Bacterial small subunit ribosomal RNA", at positions 607 to 1239 of the family's 1533-position model. The record is from RNAcentral.